Molecule: ribosomal RNA, 492 nt
Filed under: uncultured bacterium
Lineage: Bacteria
Description: partial 16S ribosomal RNA
Rfam family: Bacterial small subunit ribosomal RNA
Source: RNAcentral
GAUGAACGCUAGCUACAGGCUUAACACAUGCAAGUCGAGGGGAAACGACAUCGAAAGCUUGCUUUUGAUGGGCGUCGACCGGCGCACGGGUGAGUAACGCGUAUCCAACCUGCCCACCACUUGGGGAUAACCUUGCGAAAGUAAGACUAAUACCCAAUGAUAUCCCACGAAGACAUCUGAAUGGGAUUAAAGAUUUAUCGGUGAUGGAUGGGGAUGCGUCUGAUUAGCUUGUUGGCGGGGUAACGGCCCACCAAGGCAACGAUCAGUAGGGGUUCUGAGAGGAAGGUCCCCCACAUUGAAACUGAGACACGGUCCAAACUCCUACGGGAGGCAGCAGUGAGGAAUAUUGGUCAAUGGGCGAGAGCCUGAACCAGCCAAGUAGCGUGCAGGAAGACGGCCCUAUGGGUUGUAAACUGCUUUUAUAAGGGAAUAAAGUGGGUCACGUGUGACUUUUUGCAUGUACCUUAUGAAUAAGGACCGGCUAAUUCCGUG